Molecule: ribosomal RNA, 2187 nt
Filed under: Pseudomonas aeruginosa
Lineage: Bacteria; Pseudomonadati; Pseudomonadota; Gammaproteobacteria; Pseudomonadales; Pseudomonadaceae
Description: bacterial LSU rRNA
Rfam family: Bacterial large subunit ribosomal RNA
Source: RNAcentral
UCAAGUGAAGAAGCGCAUACGGUGGAUGCCUUGGCAGUCAGAGGCGAUGAAAGACGUGGUAGCCUGCGAAAAGCUUCGGGGAGUCGGCAAACAGACUUUGAUCCGGAGAUCUCUGAAUGGGGGAACCCACCUAGGAUAACCUAGGUAUCUUGUACUGAAUCCAUAGGUGCAAGAGGCGAACCAGGGGAACUGAAACAUCUAAGUACCCUGAGGAAAAGAAAUCAACCGAGAUUCCCUUAGUAGUGGCGAGCGAACGGGGAUUAGCCCUUAAGCUUCAUUGAUUUUAGCGGAACGCUCUGGAAAGUGCGGCCAUAGUGGGUGAUAGCCCCGUACGCGAAAGGAUCUUUGAAGUGAAAUCGAGUAGGACGGAGCACGAGAAACUUUGUCUGAACAUGGGGGGACCAUCCUCCAAGGCUAAAUACUACUGACUGACCGAUAGUGAACCAGUACCGUGAGGGAAAGGCGAAAAGAACCCCGGAGAGGGGAGUGAAAUAGAACCUGAAACCGUAUGCGUACAAGCAGUGGGAGCCUACUUGUUAGGUGACUGCGUACCUUUUGUAUAAUGGGUCAGCGACUUAUAUUCAGUGGCAAGCUUAACCGUAUAGGGUAGGCGUAGCGAAAGCGAGUCUUAAUAGGGCGUUUAGUCGCUGGGUAUAGACCCGAAACCGGGCGAUCUAUCCAUGAGCAGGUUGAAGGUUAGGUAACACUGACUGGAGGACCGAACCCACUCCCGUUGAAAAGGUAGGGGAUGACUUGUGGAUCGGAGUGAAAGGCUAAUCAAGCUCGGAGAUAGCUGGUUCUCCUCGAAAGCUAUUUAGGUAGCGCCUCAUGUAUCACUCUGGGGGGUAGAGCACUGUUUCGGCUAGGGGGUCAUCCCGACUUACCAAACCGAUGCAAACUCCGAAUACCCAGAAGUGCCGAGCAUGGGAGACACACGGCGGGUGCUAACGUCCGUCGUGAAAAGGGAAACAACCCAGACCGCCAGCUAAGGUCCCAAAGUUGUGGUUAAGUGGUAAACGAUGUGGGAAGGCUUAGACAGCUAGGAGGUUGGCUUAGAAGCAGCCACCCUUUAAAGAAAGCGUAAUAGCUCACUAGUCGAGUCGGCCUGCGCGGAAGAUGUAACGGGGCUCAAACCACACACCGAAGCUGCGGGUGUCACGUAAGUGACGCGGUAGAGGAGCGUUCUGUAAGCCUGUGAAGGUGAGUUGAGAAGCUUGCUGGAGGUAUCAGAAGUGCGAAUGCUGACAUGAGUAACGACAAUGGGUGUGAAAAACACCCACGCCGAAAGACCAAGGGUUCCUGCGCAACGUUAAUCGACGCAGGGUUAGUCGGUUCCUAAGGCGAGGCUGAAAAGCGUAGUCGAUGGGAAACAGGUUAAUAUUCCUGUACUUCUGGUUACUGCGAUGGAGGGACGGAGAAGGCUAGGCCAGCUUGGCGUUGGUUGUCCAAGUUUAAGGUGGUAGGCUGAAAUCUUAGGUAAAUCCGGGGUUUCAAGGCCGAGAGCUGAUGACGAGUCGUCUUUUAGAUGACGAAGUGGUUGAUGCCAUGCUUCCAAGAAAAGCUUCUAAGCUUCAGGUAACCAGGAACCGUACCCCAAACCGACACAGGUGGUCGGGUAGAGAAUACCAAGGCGCUUGAGAGAACUCGGGUGAAGGAACUAGGCAAAAUGGCACCGUAACUUCGGGAGAAGGUGCGCCGGCUAGGGUGAAGGAUUUACUCCGUAAGCUCUGGCUGGUCGAAGAUACCAGGCCGCUGCGACUGUUUAUUAAAAACACAGCACUCUGCAAACACGAAAGUGGACGUAUAGGGUGUGACGCCUGCCCGGUGCCGGAAGGUUAAUUGAUGGGGUUAGCGCAAGCGAAGCUCUUGAUCGAAGCCCCGGUAAACGGCGGCCGUAACUAUAACGGUCCUAAGGUAGCGAAAUUCCUUGUCGGGUAAGUUCCGACCUGCACGAAUGGCGUAACGAUGGCGGCGCUGUCUCCACCCGAGACUCAGUGAAAUUGAAAUCGCUGUGAAGAUGCAGUGUAUCCGCGGCUAGACGGAAAGACCCCGUGAACCUUUACUGUAGCUUUGCACUGGACUUUGAGCCUGCUUGUGUAGGAUAGGUGGGAGGCUUUGAAGCGUGGACGCCAGUUCGCGUGGAGCCAUCCUUGAAAUACCACCCUGGCAUGCUUGAGGUUCUAACUC